UACAGAGGGGGCAAGCGUUGUUCGGAAUUACCGGGCGUAAAGGGCGCGUAGGUGGCCUUCUAAGUUGAACGUGAAAUCCCUGGGCUCAACCCAGGAACUGCGUCCAAGACUGGGAGGCUUGAAUCCGGGAGAGGGAUGCGGAAUUCCAGGUGUAGCGGUGAAAUGCGUAGAUAUCUGGAGGAACACCGGUGGCGAAGGCGGCAUCCUGGACCGGUAUUGACACUGAGGCGCGAAAGCCAGGGGAGCAAACGGG
This 253-nucleotide ribosomal RNA is filed under the name uncultured bacterium. RNAcentral's name for it is "partial 16S ribosomal RNA". It matches the Rfam family "Bacterial small subunit ribosomal RNA", at positions 524 to 776 of the family's 1533-position model. The record is from RNAcentral.